RNAcentral lists this ribosomal RNA (450 nucleotides) under uncultured bacterium. RNAcentral's name for it is "partial 16S ribosomal RNA". It matches the Rfam family "Bacterial small subunit ribosomal RNA", at positions 354 to 796 of the family's 1533-position model. The record is from RNAcentral.
GUGGGGAAUAUUGGACAAUGGGCGAAAGCCUGAUCCAGCCAUGCCGCGUGUGUGAAGAAGGUCUUCGGAUUGUAAAGCACUUUAAGUUGGGAGGAAGGGCAGUAAGUUAAUACCUUGCUGUUUUGACGUUACCGACAGAAUAAGCACCGGCUAACUUCGUGCCAGCAGCCGCGGUAAUACGAAGGGUGCAAGCGUUAAUCGGAAUUACUGGGCGUAAAGCGCGCGUAGGUGGUUUUGUAAGUUGGAGGUGAAAUCCCCGGGCUCAACCUGGGAACUGCAUCCAAAACUGCAUGACUAGAGGACGAUAGAGGGUAGUGGAAUUUCCUGUGUAGCGGUGAAAUGCGUAGAUAUAGGAAGGAACACCAGUGGCGAAGGCGACUACCUGGACUGAUACUGACACUGAGGUGCGAAAGCGUGGGGAGCAAACAGGAUUAGAUACCCUAGUAGUCC